RNAcentral lists this ribosomal RNA (636 nucleotides) under Aquaspirillum sp. Fon08. RNAcentral describes it as "bacterial SSU rRNA". It matches the Rfam family "Bacterial small subunit ribosomal RNA", at positions 71 to 709 of the family's 1533-position model. The record is from RNAcentral. Lineage: Bacteria; Pseudomonadati; Pseudomonadota; Betaproteobacteria; Neisseriales; Aquaspirillaceae.
ACAGGUCUUCGGAUGCUGACGAGUGGCGAACGGGUGAGUAAUACAUCGGAACGUGCCCGAUCGUGGGGGAUAACGCAGCGAAAGCUGUGCUAAUACCGCAUACGAUCUACGGAUGAAAGCGGGGGAUCGCAAGACCUCGCGCGGACGGAGCGGCCGAUGGCAGAUUAGGUAGUUGGUGGGGUAAAGGCCUACCAAGCCUGCGAUCUGUAGCUGGUCUGAGAGGACGACCAGCCACACUGGGACUGAGACACGGCCCAGACUCCUACGGGAGGCAGCAGUGGGGAAUUUUGGACAAUGGGCGCAAGCCUGAUCCAGCAAUGCCGCGUGCAGGAUGAAGGCCUUCGGGUUGUAAACUGCUUUUGUACGGAACGAAAAGAUCUUUCCUAAUACGAGAGGUUUAUGACGGUACCGUAAGAAUAAGCACCGGCUAACUACGUGCCAGCAGCCGCGGUAAUACGUAGGGUGCAAGCGUUAAUCGGAAUUACUGGGCGUAAAGCGUGCGCAGGCGGUAAUGUAAGACAGAUGUGAAAUCCCCGGGCUCAACCUGGGAACUGCAUUUGUGACUGCAUUGCUGGAGUGCGGCAGAGGGGAUGGAUUCCGCGUGUAGCAGUGAUGCGUAGAUAUGCGGAGGAACAC